AUUGAACGCUGGCGGCAUGCCUCACACAUGCAAGUCGAACGGCAGCAUGGAAGAGCUUGCUCUUCUGAUGGCGAGUGGCGAACGGGUGAGUAAAGCAUCGGAACGUACCGUGUAGUGGGGGAUAACGUAGCGAAAGUUACGCUAAUACCGCAUACGCACUGAGGUGGAAAGCAGGGGAUCGCAAGACCUUGCGCUAUACGAGCGGCCGAUGUCAGAUUAGCUAGUUGGUAGGGUAAAGGCCUACCAAGGCGACGAUCUGUAGCGGGUCUGAGAGGAUGAUCCGCAACACUGGGACUGAGACACGGCCCAGACUCCUACGGGAGGCAGCAGUGGGGAAUUUUGGACAAUGGGGGAAACCCUGAUCCAGCCAUGCCGCGUGAGUGAAGAAGGCCUUCGGGUUGUAAAGCUCUUUCGGCUGGGAAGAAAUCGCACAGGCUAAUACUCUGUGUGGAUGACGGUACCAGCACAAGAAGCACCGGCUAACUACGUGCCAGCCGCCGCAGUAA
This 506-nucleotide ribosomal RNA is filed under the name uncultured bacterium. Its description in RNAcentral is "partial 16S ribosomal RNA". It matches the Rfam family "Bacterial small subunit ribosomal RNA", at positions 30 to 523 of the family's 1533-position model. The record is from RNAcentral.